UACAGAGGGGGCAAGCGUUAUUCGGAAUUAUUGGGCGUAAAGGGCGCGUAGGCGGCCAUUCAAGUGACGGGUGAAAGCCCUCGGCUUAACCGAGGAACUGCCUGUCAGACUGGAUGGCUCGAGACCGGGAGAGGUGAGUGGAAUUCCCAGUGUAGCGGUGAAAUGCGUAGAUAUUGGGAGGAACACCGGUGGCGAAGGCGGCGCACUGGACCGGAACUGACGCUGAUGCGCGAAAGCGUGGGGAGCAAACAGG
RNAcentral lists this ribosomal RNA (253 nucleotides) under uncultured bacterium. RNAcentral describes it as "partial 16S ribosomal RNA". It matches the Rfam family "Bacterial small subunit ribosomal RNA", at positions 524 to 776 of the family's 1533-position model. The record is from RNAcentral.